AGUGCUCGCAAGAGAACCGGAACACGAGGUGGCUGCAUGGCUGUCGUCAGCUCGUGUCGUGAGAUGUUGGGUUAAGUCCCGCAACCGAGCGCAACCCUUGUCAUUAGUUGCCAUCAUUUGGUUGGGCACUCUAGCGAGACUGCCGGUAAUAAACCGGAGGAAGUGGGGGAUGACGUCAAGUCCUCAUGGCCCUUAUAGGUGGGGCUACACACGUCAUACAAUGGAUGGUACAAAGGGUCGCCAACCCGCGAGGGGGAGCCAAUCCCAUAAAGCCAUUCGUAGUCCGGAUCGCAGUCUGCAACUCGACUGCGUGAAGUCGGAAUCGCUAGUAAUCGUGGAUCAGAAUGUCACGGUGAAUACGUUCCCGGGUCUU
Molecule: ribosomal RNA, 373 nt
Filed under: uncultured Acidovorax sp.
Lineage: Bacteria; Pseudomonadati; Pseudomonadota; Betaproteobacteria; Burkholderiales; Comamonadaceae
Description: bacterial SSU rRNA
Rfam family: Bacterial small subunit ribosomal RNA
Source: RNAcentral